Molecule: long non-coding RNA, 648 nt
Organism: Oncorhynchus gorbuscha (pink salmon)
Lineage: Eukaryota; Metazoa; Chordata; Actinopteri; Salmoniformes; Salmonidae
Exons: 3
Source: RefSeq, a predicted model, not a curated record
UGUCAGUUUAGGGGUUAAAGGUUAUUGUCUGUCAGUUUAGGGGUUAAAGGUUAUUGUCUGUCAGUUUAGGGGUUAAAGGGUUAAAGGUUAUUGUCUGUCAGAUUCAAGGGACCCCCUCCGCUCCUGGAGGGCCCGCUGGCUGUCAGUUUAGGGGUUAAAGGUUAUUGUCUGUCAGAUUCCAGGGACCCCCUCCCCUCCUGGAGGGCCCGCUGGCUGUCAACACCAGACUACAGAACGGACGCAGGCUGUUCACUGGACAACUACAUGGACCAGAAUCCUUCACUGCGGACCAGGAGGGUAACGUGUACACAGGGACGCUGGAUGGGAAGCUGUGGAGGAUCAAUCAGGAGACUCUAACCCUCAUCACCCACAUGGGGCAGGACUUACAGGAGUGUGGUCAGUAACUAACUAACUAACUAACUAACUAACUAACUAACUAACUAACUAACUAACUAACCCUAACUCAUCACCCACAUGGGGCAGGACUUACAGGAGUGUGGUCAGUAACUAACUAACUAACUAACUCUAACGCUAACUAACUACCCAACCCUAACUAACUAACCAACCCUAACGCUAACUAACCCUAACGCAUCACCCACAUGGGACAGGACUUACAGGAGUGUGGUCACUAACUAACUAACUAACUAA